GACGAACGCUGGCGGCGUGCUUAACACAUGCAAGUCGAACGGACCUUCGGGUUAGUGGCGAACGGGUGAGUAACACGUGGGUGAUCUGCUCUGCACUUUGGGAUAAGCCUGGGAAACUGGGUCUAAUACCGAAUAGGGCCACGCGCUUCAUGGUGGGUGGUGGAAAGCUUUUGCGGUGUGGGAUGGGCCCGCGGCCUAUCAGCUUGUUGGUGGGGUAAUGGCCUACCAAGGCGACGGCGGGUAGCCGGCCUGAGAGGGUGACCGGCCACACUGGGACUGAGAUACGGCCCAGACUCCUACGGGAGGCAGCAGUGGGGAAUAUUGCACAAUGGGCGCAAGCCUGAUGCAGCGACGCCGCGUGAGGGAUGACGGCCUUCGGGUUGUAAACCUCUUUCGCCAGGGACGAAGCGCAAGUGACGGUACCUGGAGAAGAAGGACCGGCCAACUACGUGCCAGCCGCCGCGGUAA
Molecule: ribosomal RNA, 468 nt
Filed under: uncultured bacterium
Lineage: Bacteria
Description: partial 16S ribosomal RNA
Rfam family: Bacterial small subunit ribosomal RNA
Source: RNAcentral